AGCUUUGCACAGUGGCAGUAUCGUAGCCAAUGAGGUUUGUCCGAUGCCCGAUUGCUAAUGGAAAACUUUUCCCAAUAAUGAUGAUGAUACUAAAGCUAAAAUAAUAACCAACAUUUGUUACCCAUUAUGUGCCAAGUACUGUGG
Molecule: small nuclear RNA, 144 nt
Organism: Ochotona curzoniae (black-lipped pika)
Lineage: Eukaryota; Metazoa; Chordata; Mammalia; Lagomorpha; Ochotonidae
Product: U4 spliceosomal RNA
Exons: 1
Source: RefSeq, a predicted model, not a curated record